CACGUAGGCACCAAGCGUUGUCCGGAUUUAUUGGGCGUAAAGAGCUCGUAGGCGGUUCGGUAAGUCGGGUGUGAAAACUCAGGGCUCAACCCUGAGCCGCCACCCGAUACUGCUGUGACUUGAGUUCGGUAGGGGAGCGGGGAACUCCUGGUGUAGCGGUGAAAUGCGCAGAUAUCAGGAAGAACACCAGUGGCGAAGGCGCCGCUCUGGGCCGAGACUGACGCUGAGGAGCGAAAGCGUGGGUAGCAAA
This 250-nucleotide ribosomal RNA is filed under the name uncultured bacterium. Its description in RNAcentral is "partial 16S ribosomal RNA". It matches the Rfam family "Bacterial small subunit ribosomal RNA", at positions 524 to 772 of the family's 1533-position model. The record is from RNAcentral.